RNAcentral lists this ribosomal RNA (421 nucleotides) under uncultured bacterium. RNAcentral describes it as "bacterial SSU rRNA". It matches the Rfam family "Bacterial small subunit ribosomal RNA", at positions 30 to 455 of the family's 1533-position model. The record is from RNAcentral.
AUUGAACGCUGGCGGCAUGCCUUACACAUGCAAGUCGAACGGCAGCACGGGAGCAAUCCUGGUGGCGAGUGGCGAACGGGUGAGUAAUAUAUCGGAACGUGCCCAGUCGUGGGGAUAACGUAGCGAAAGCUACGCUAAUACCGCAUACGGUCUACGGAUGAAAGCGGGGGAUCGCAAGACCUCGCGCGAUUGGAGCGGCCGAUAUCAGAUUAGGUAGUUGGUGAGGUAAAGGCUCACCAAGCCGACGAUCUGUAGCUGGUCUGAGAGGACGACCAGCCACACUGGGACUGAGACACGGCCCAGACUCCUACGGGAGGCAGCAGUGGGGAAUUUUGGACAAUGGGCGCAAGCCUGAUCCAGCAAUGCCGCGUGCAGGAUGAAGGCCUCGGUUGUAACUGCUUUGUUACGGUAACGAACGGUA